Molecule: ribosomal RNA, 378 nt
Filed under: Enterobacter cloacae subsp. cloacae
Lineage: Bacteria; Pseudomonadati; Pseudomonadota; Gammaproteobacteria; Enterobacterales; Enterobacteriaceae
Description: bacterial LSU rRNA
Rfam family: Bacterial large subunit ribosomal RNA
Source: RNAcentral
CCAAGGGUAUGGCUGUUCGCCAUUUAAAGUGGUACGCGAGCUGGGUUUAGAACGUCGUGAGACAGUUCGGUCCCUAUCUGCCGUGGGCGCUGGAGAAUUGAGGGGGGCUGCUCCUAGUACGAGAGGACCGGAGUGGACGCAUCACUGGUGUUCGGGUUGUCAUGCCAAUGGCACUGCCCGGUAGCUAAAUGCGGAAGAGAUAAGUGCUGAAAGCAUCUAAGCACGAAACUUGCCCCGAGAUGAGUUCUCCCUGAGACUUUAAGUCUCCUGAAGGAACGUUAAAGACGAUGACGUUGAUAGGUCGGGUGUGUAAGCGCAGCGAUGCGUUGAGCUAACCGAUACUAAUGAACCGUGAGGCUUAACCUUACAACGCCGAAG